This 523-nucleotide ribosomal RNA is filed under the name Acinetobacter sp. EBR01. RNAcentral describes it as "bacterial SSU rRNA". It matches the Rfam family "Bacterial small subunit ribosomal RNA", at positions 1 to 522 of the family's 1533-position model. Lineage: Bacteria; Pseudomonadati; Pseudomonadota; Gammaproteobacteria; Moraxellales; Moraxellaceae. The record is from RNAcentral.
UGGAGAGUUUGAUCCUGGCUCAGAUUGAACGCUGGCGGCAGGCUUAACACAUGCAAGUCGAGCGGGGAARGGUAGCUUGCUACCUGACCUAGCGGCGGACGGGUGAGUAAUGCUUAGGAAUCUGCCUAUUAGUGGGGGACAACAUUCCGAAAGGAAUGCUAAUACCGCAUACGCCCUACGGGGGAAAGCAGGGGAUCUUCGGACCUUGCGCUAAUAGAUGAGCCUAAGUCAGAUUAGCUAGUUGGUGGGGUAAAGGCCUACCAAGGCGACGAUCUGUAGCGGGUCUGAGAGGAUGAUCCGCCACACUGGGACUGAGACACGGCCCAGACUCCUACGGGAGGCAGCAGUGGGGAAUAUUGGACAAUGGGCGAAAGCCUGAUCCAGCCAUGCCGCGUGUGUGAAGAAGGCCUUUUGGUUGUAAAGCACUUUAAGCGAGGAGGAGGCUACUKGGAUUAAUACUCUDGGAUAGUGGACGUUACUCGCAGAAUAAGCACCGGCUAACUCUGUGCCAGCAGCCGCGGUA